AGCAGCCGCGGUAAUUCCAGCUCCAAUAGCGUAUAUUAAAGUUGUUGCAGUUAAAAAGCUCGUAGUUGAAUUUCGGGAUCAAUAUGUCGGUCGUGCCUUCGGUACGUACUGGUAUCAUUGGUUUCUCCCUUCUGACAAAUCAUGAUGUCAUUAAUUUGGUGUUAUGGGGAGUUAGGACUGUUACUUUGAAAAAAUUAGAGUGUUUAAAGCAGGCAUUAGCUUGAAUACAUUAGCAUGGAAUAAUGAAAUAGGACGUUUGACCCUAUUUUGUUGGUUUCUAGGAUCGACGUAAUGAUUAAUAGGGAUAGUUGGGGGCAUUAGUAUUCAAUUGUCAGAGGUGAAAUUCUUGGAUUUAUUGAAGACUAACUACUGCGAAAGCAUUUGCCAAGGAUGUUUUCAUUAAUCAAGAACGAAAGUUAGGGGAUCGAAGACGAUCAGAUACCGUCGUAGUCUUAACCAUAAACUAUGCCGACUAGGGAUCGGAUGAUGUUAAUUUUUUAAUGACUCA
Molecule: ribosomal RNA, 508 nt
Filed under: uncultured Glomus
Lineage: Eukaryota; Fungi; Glomeromycota; Glomeromycetes; Glomerales; Glomeraceae
Description: SSU rRNA
Rfam family: Eukaryotic small subunit ribosomal RNA
Source: RNAcentral